Molecule: long non-coding RNA, 5471 nt
Filed under: Homo sapiens (human)
Lineage: Eukaryota; Metazoa; Chordata; Mammalia; Primates; Hominidae
Description: long non-coding RNA NONHSAT172038.1
Source: RNAcentral
UUCUGAGGCCCACCUCCUGCUGCCCCUGCCUGUAUUCUUCCCAGCUCCUCUGCCCAGUCUGGAUCCAUCUUGGCUGCUGCACGUAUUUUGGCCCUUGCUGCUCCAAGUCCCACACUGAGCCUGGUAUCCUGGGCAGUCAUCUCUGCAACUGGGCCUCUGACGGCACCUGCUCCAACCUGAGGGUUUCCCUGGCCUGGGGCCAAUCAGAACUCUCCAGCCCCAUUUCAUUUUCCUCUUCCUUAUGUUCUAGGUGCAAUGUUUUAAGGGGAAGACUUACACUAUGAAGCUAGCCCAGAAGAGGGUGACUAGAGUACUGAGGAGUUUCUACCUGGAAGGGCUGUAAGGAAGACAACUGCUAUGUUGUGAGCGGCUCUAUGGAGAGGCCCAUGUGGAGGGAAGUGAGGAAGGCCUCUGGCCAACAGUCCAGGAGGAAGUGAAGCCCUCAGUCCAACAGCCUGUGUGGAACUGAACCCUGCAAACAACUCUGUGUGUGAGCUUGGAAGUGGAUCCAUAUUCAGUCAAACCUUGAGAUGGGACACCAUGCUCUGCUAACACUUGAUUGUGGUCCCAGCUAGGCCACUGCUGAAGUCUUGACUCAGAGAAACGAUGAUAUAGUAAAUGUUUGUUGUUUCAAGUUGGUAAGUUUUGGGAUAAUUUUUUAUAUAGUGAUAAUUUUUUAUAUACUUUAAAAUAACACAUUGCCCUAUCCUUUGGUUACACUUUUCUCUUGGAACUCUGCUUGCCCAUAUAUUACAGAAAUAUUUUUCAGAUCAUGGGCUGAAAGGUGGAUUAUGGAUGCAAUGUUUAAAUUUAGCAAUGUCAUUUAUGACUGUUCAUAUGAGCUUUGCUGCAUAAAAUGUUGAUAUUAAUUUGUUUCCCUUUAAGACAUUCUUAAUGUUUACCUCUCAGUAUUUUCUUUGUAAUCAAUUAAUGUAAGAUGAAUAUAGUUUGUAGGUUUUACCUUUCUUGAUUCGUAUACAAAACACACAACAUCCAACCAUUGUUAUUUAAAGAUUAUCUAGGAGGAGAUGAUGGAAACUCUGUUUUGGGCCACCUUCUUUACACAUUGGGUCUAUUUCCCCUAACUUGAGUAUAUAUUAAACUAGUGGGGGAUUGAGCUACAAAAAUGCUACUUGGUGAGAAUUUUAUUAAUACAAAUACUCAACUCUGAAGUUACGUUUUUGUGGAAAGUUAUCACUUUGGAAUUUGAAUUUUCUUGGAGCUAAGCCACUGGUAGUUGUAAAAGCUACACCUGUAAAUUUGCUCCCUAGAAGAUACUUUCGUUUAGUGACCACUUGUUUCUCUGUGGAUAAAUUCAAUUAUAAAUUACAAUCGAAUUGACGUUUUCAUAGCAUCCUUCACUCUCCAAGUAUCUCAAGUCCUCUGUGAAUUAUAAAGUAAUUACAGUGCUCAAAGGACAGUUUCAUAAUUGUGUCCAUGAGCACAGACUUUCCUCUAUGUUCGAGAAGGGCUCAUUCCCAGCCGGGAACAUUAAGUUGGAUUUUAUUGAGACUGGGGACUGCUAGUCCAGACAGCUGGGUGAUCCCCUGCGCUAUUUUGAAAAGUAUCCUGGGAUCUUUAAUUUCCACCUGGAUGGUCAGGGAGGUGAGAGAACGGCCCUCACUGGGUGUGACCUUGUAUCCCACUUGGGGUCUUGAACCAGGGGACCCCCAACCCCAGAGGUGAGACAUGCAAUAUGGUCAAUUAUACAACCUCUUAAUUAUUUUUUGCUGAAUCUCAAGUGAGUUCUCAUGGCCUGCUCUCUCCCGGGUGGGUUCAGAAGGUGGCCAAGAAGAAAUGUUAGAAAAUUCCCAGAGAGCCAUUUCAUGAGAAUGUUUUCUUUGGUUUAUACCUGAUACUGUUUUGUUUUUGUUGUUGCUUUUUAAUAACUUUUUUUUCUUUUUGUGGGGUCAUUUGCGUAAUACACAGGUGACGAACACUCAAGGUUAUUUGGUCGCAUGCCACCAAAUAACUUUCCUUUGGCACAUCUGCAGUGAAGGAGUCUUUCUGUCUGUCUCCUUUUGUUCCUCAUCAUCUAUUAGCUUGGCACAGCUGACUGAGCUGUUAAAUGAUUACUGCAUAUUUUGUACCUCACCUUGAGAGGCUUUGGUAUAAAAAGGUGCUAAUUAAGCUGAAGCUUCUGGCCCUCUUGCCUAUGUGGGCCCCAGGAAGCGAAGCAAAAAGACUUUAGGGAGCUGGAGCUUGUGUGUGUGUGUGUGUGUGUGUGUGUGUGUGUGUGUGUGUGUGUGUGUGUGUGUGUUUCGUUUUCAGCAUUUUGAGGAAUUGUUACUGGAACUUAUAAAAUAAUUGUUUUAGACCUUAUAAACACAGCAAAUUCUUCAAACUACGUAUGAGGCUGACUCAAAAAGCCACGUAAAGGUAGCUUGGCGAAUCAACUAACUGCUGACCAGUUUGUGGUGAUCGUAAGUCUAUAUAUGCUGGAUUUGGCGAUCGUAAGUCUAUAUAUGCUGGAUUUGAAUAUUUUCUGUAUUUAAAGAAAAAUAAGUACAUUCUAAGAAUAGUUGUCAUCUCCCUCUGUAGACUUGCCCCGUAGAUAUUUGAAAUGGGGAUUAACAUAUUUAAGAGUAGCAGGAAGUGCUAUUUCAUCAGUGUCUAGAAUGGGAGGCGAAUUCAGUCCCUGCCUGGACUUGUUGACUAGCUCGCUGGGUUGUGAAAACCACGGCAUUCUCCUGGGAAUUUGUUCCAGGGCACUGACUGCAUUUCUUCUGAAGCUAAAGCACUUAGCUUUGCUUCCAUGCCUUUUAAUAUAAUUUGUAGGCUUCAGCAGAUUUCUAAAGUACACCACUUGAUAUCUUUCACAGCUCAAGGUAAAUUCUGCAGCACGAACUUAUAGAAUUUUUUUCUUUUACCUGGGGUGAGAACAUACCUUUUCCUAGUGCUAUUUUUUUUUUCUGGGCUACCUUUCAUCUGUUUACAUGAAUUCCACUUCUUCUCGCUGUGUUAAAGAAAUCCCCUAAGCUGUCUACAUAGGUGUGAAACUUUUGGUUGUGAUUUCCUUGAAGUUAGUUGGAACUGGAACAUUUUUUUCUGUGUCCUGAAUGGCUCACACAUUCCCUAACACAGAAUGGAUACUCAGCGAACAGUUGUUGAAUCAGUGAACGGUAAUGGCUCAGUUCUGUCAGACAAUGGAUUGAAUUAUUUUUACACCUUUAAUUCACUCAUGGACUGAAUUAACCUACUCAUGGGCUGUUUGGGGCAUCAAGUGAUAUUUAUACAUUUCUGAAGAAUGUGGAAUCACCAGGGUUAACAGUGUUUGCAGGUGGCGUUCGAUUGCAGGGGCCCAAGGAACCACGGCUGAAUUCCGCAUGGACAUAGGCCAUUUUCCACCAGCAAAGUUAUGAGAACUUUUUUUGUUUUGGUAACUGAUGUGAAAUUUUCAGUUCCGAAUGACAUCCAGAAACUCUCCUUCUGCAGCAGAUGAAUGUUUUGAGGGAAUUUGAGAGGAGGGUUUGUCUUUUAUCUCUCACCUGCACGAGGACACUUGCAGUCUCUUAAGAGAUGUUCUCUUUUUGAAAUGGUGGAAGGACAGAAGCAUCAGCCAGCCCGUUCAUGCUUGGGGACAGAGAGGGAGCUCAGAGCUUAGGGGAGCACAGGUCACUCUAAUGAAUGACAGCUGUAAUAAUAAAGACAUGCCAUCCAUGCUACUUUUUGCAGAAACCAGAAACAUCCUUGUGAAAGUUAAAGGGAAAAGAAAAACGUGUACUUUGAGGGGGGUGUUAACGGGGGACAGGAGGUGGCGACAUAAAAGACUGGUUUAAUGUGUCUCGUUGUAGCCCCUAAGGCUUUACCUGACCCCAUCACUGUCACAACACCUUCUUCGGGACUGACAGUCUUGGUAAUUGAUGGGUUGGUGGGGGCUUUUUUCUGCAAACACAUUAAGGCAGGAGGGAAUACUCUGGCCCCCACCUCCCCACGCCUGGCACGGGGGACCUGGAGGCGAGCAGACACCAGGCCCGGCGGUGUUGGGGGCAGAAGGGAUCAAUUCUGUCAACCAGACUGCCCAGCUACUGUCAGGCACUGGGACCCUUCACCUGCUCCUUGGAGUCAUUAGAACUCCCAAAUCUCUUUGCAGGCCUUUUCUAUUAGACACAUACUCCCAUGUUUUGAUUUUUUGCUCCCAAAGUCAUUUUUUUAAAUAAUUACCUGCAUCGAACCACACUUACCAUCUGUGGGCUGAGAGCGGGCAAAUGAUUUAUUAGUCUUGGUUUCUAACGGUGCUGAGCAGCUUGGGAUCGAUCUUGCUGGUGACACACUCGGCAGAUGCACCGAUGGGUGGGAGGGUCAAUGUCAGGAUGAAGCUUCUUGCGGAGCUGACAUGCACGUGGGGACCCCAGGUGUGGUGUUUAGUUGGUAGACUGUGACAUUGCAAAAGUGGAGUCUCAAGCCAUGGCGGAUAACAGGCGGCAGAAAAAGCAGUGAGGGAGCUUCUUGGGAUGUUUUACUUUAAGUAGAAAGUAAAACUGUGCAUGAAAAGAGGGGACAGAGUAUGCAACCCAAAUCAUCGCCAAGGCUCUUGGUUUCUUCUGUGCACACUGCCUGCCUUGUAUCCAAGCGUUUGACUGUGCAGAGGCCAGUCAUACUGGGGGACCCUGAGCACUACCCUUGGCAUUUGGGUAUAUCCUGAUCAAUAUAGCCAUUUCCACUGCUUGACAUUAUGUUUUGGGGGCUAGUUUUUUAAAGAUCAAUGAUUGAAUUGCUGCUCGGCUGAUUGGAUAUGUCUUCUCGGAGACUCACCUGUCCUCCCCGAAGAGAUGCUGACUACACAACAGCAGUCACUGUGCUGGGCACACGGGCAGUGUUCAGGAGACGUGGCUUCCUUUCUUCUUCUUUCAUUUCUUCCUGCCCAGAACAGCAAGGCUGAGACUGAUAAUAAAAUUCCUGGAACAUGGAGAAACUCAUGUGGGGAGAAAAGAAGAAAUGUAUUGUGACUUCCAUGGGCUUUUGGCACUUUUGGACCUCCCUCCUCCUCUUUUCCAUAAAAAAUGUAUUUUAAGACAUAUUGGUAUAAAGAUGAGAUUAUUCAUAGUACAUAUUAAAAUGUUUUCCCCUACCUAAAAGUUUGUGGUUUUAUUGUCUUCUUGUUUUUAAAAUAAAUUAAAAUAUUUUCAAAGGCCGUUAGAAGAACCGUGGGCCCUGGGCUUGGUGCCUGCUGUGCCUCAUAAAUCAGGCCUGGAGAAGAGACAUCAGUGACAUUUUAGUGUCAGGUAGAAAAUGUAAAAUAUCAUGAUUGUUUUCCAAUGAUAUACUAAGUAAGACACAUAAGAUGUGUUUUAAUUUUUUUCUUGAUGUAUGCUGUUGUCUUUUAGUUAUAAAUGCUGAGUACUGUUAAAAGAUAAACUGAGGCACAAUAAAAUUUGAAGAGUUUAUUUGAGCAAACAAUGAUUUGUUACCGAAACACCAGGGGUUCAUCUGGGUCCUGCUGCUUGCCACACAGAAAGCCAAUCACUGAG